AUCUGACCUCAAAUCAGGUAGGACUACCCGCUGA
This 34-nucleotide ribosomal RNA is filed under the name Trametes hirsuta. RNAcentral's name for it is "partial 28S ribosomal RNA". The record is from RNAcentral. Lineage: Eukaryota; Fungi; Basidiomycota; Agaricomycetes; Polyporales; Polyporaceae.